RNAcentral lists this long non-coding RNA (29041 nucleotides) under Setaria italica (foxtail millet). RNAcentral describes it as "long non-coding RNA (SITA_LNC001714)". Lineage: Eukaryota; Viridiplantae; Streptophyta; Magnoliopsida; Poales; Poaceae. The record is from RNAcentral.
UGCCUCUGCUGCUGGGCGCGCGGCGAGGGCGCACCGACGACGGCCCUCGGGGAUCCGAGGCUGACCGCUCUGAGCACGUCGAGGUCGUACGCGGCGGGCUUGGCUGCCUGGUGGUGGUGGUCGGGGGCGUAGAAGAGGUCGUCGGUGCCGACCAUGUCGAGCAGGUCGACGGAGUCGUCGGGGAGGAGCGCGGCGACGUCGACGUCGGCGUCGUCGGGGAGCGAGAGGAGGGCGGCGUCGUAGGCUGCCUCGUGGAGCUGGUGCUGUCGGAACCAGUGGUCCCGGAACCAGGCGGUGGUCUUGACGAGCUCCCACCACUCGGGCGAGAAGUCCUCCACCUGGCGGUACGCCGCCGGGAUGAAGAGCGGCGCGUUCGGGUUCAGCGACGACGACGCCAUGGCCAUGGUGCUCAUCCUCGGUUCUCCUUUCUACUACCUGGAACAAGCACGGCAAGAAAAGCAGUCAGCUUUAGCCUCAGCUUCAGCGCAGAGCUCGUGCUCGUGCUCGAGCUACAGCAGCAUCCCCGAUCCGAUCGUCCGAGCUCAGAUCCGGAAGGGGAAAUCGUUAACGUCACAGAUCUGAGAAAGCUUUUCUGGUGGUGUUCGUGCUCACCUUUUCCUCGCUUGGCUCCGCUUCGCUUUGGACGUGCCGAGCGAGCGAGCGAACAGGGGGAAUAUCCCGUGCAGUUCUGGGGUGCCGUGCCGUGCCGUGCCGCGGUGGGGAGGGGGCGGGUGUUUAUAGCCAGGCACCCAGGCGCGGUGCGACGACGACGACGAGCCGAGCCAGGCCGCGUGGGGUGGCUUCGGGUGGUGGUGGUGGUGGGUGGUGGCGGAGGGCCGGAUGGGGAGUGGUCGGCUUCGGCUUGCUUUCUCCUCGGGGACGCGGUGUGGCCAGUGGGGUAAACGGCUGGCGCGUCUCGACCGGAUUUUCUAUGGGCGCCCUGUGGUUCGCGGCGCUCUGGUUGGUCUGUGCUGGUGUGGUGGUGGGGGAGAAGACGGGGAGUAGUUUAUUGGGCACGAAGGUUCGUGGCUGAUGAGGACGAAACGAGCUGGGAGGCGGACGUACGUACAACGUGUAAACCGUGGCAGCAGUCAACCGUGGCCGCUGGUUGUGUGGUUACAUAAUUCCGAGUUAUGAGCUAGCAUCAACUUUAGCCGAUCUUUUCUUUUAAAACAAAUUCUGACGCUGAGCAUGCGUAUCUUGAUAUUAAGACAAGUUAUGGUACCACUACUAUUAUAAAAAAAUCUGACCACCUGACCCGGUCUCAAACUCAAAUCCAGGUGAAUAGUUCGCCCAAGAUUCCACAGCAAACAUAAUCUUGUUUUUCCCAACUUAACAAACUGAUAUUUUCAUACUUUCAUAUACUAAAAUAUCUCACCUCUAUGUUUUUCUAUAUUAAAAAAUACCAUCUCUAUGUUUUUAAUUGUUAUAAGACGUGUGCUUGUCUAGACUGACCGACUGAGCUUAGACACCGACACCGACACCAUUCGUAGGAGGAAAAAAAAGGCUCGCGUGCCUUUGUUUCAAAAACGAUAUUAAUUUGUCGAAUAGUGGCCUGCAUGAAUCUGCUCAUUGUUAUGCAUGAAUCUGACCAAAUAAAUAAGAUCCGAAAUAACUUAGUCCAUCGAAUUAAUUAAUUAAUUAAUAUUCAAGGAUGUAGCAUACGGCAUCAGGAACUAAACCACCAGGAUUAGGAAUGGACCCAAGCACGCUACAGACAAAGACGUCGCGAUCCGAAAUCGGCACGUCUUAAUAAGCGAGAUAUUUAAUACUUAAUUGCAAAUUGAUUCGGUGAAACGUUCUUUUUUUUUAGCCAUUGGGGUGAUGGCAUCAAGACAAAGUUGGGGGGCAGUUGCCACUUUGAUUUCCACGCAAAAUUCGUCAUCACUGAUUUUCAAUGGCUUUUGGGAGUACGUGUAGAGGCAUCGAGCGUUCAGCGAUUUUGAUCGCUCGUAGUACAGUACAGUGGAGUGGUUUUGCGAUAGCCAUUGGCGUCUGAUCUCGCAACCUUUUGAGCUUUCGUCGUUCAAGAGUCAAAAUUAAAAGAGGCUAGAAGAUACAUGCGACCCUCAAUUCAAGAGUCAGAUUUUUGAAUAACCGUGCCGAGACUCGACAUAUUUUACGAUCCAAACUUCAUUCACGCAUGUUUAAUAUAGGUGUGAUGUAUGCAUGAAUAAUUCUGGAUGGUGGGGUUCAACCAAUUUUCUUGUACCAUAUGGUUCACUCCUAUUAGUAGAAUAAUGUAUUAAGUGAGAUGGUUUCAUCAUGGAUAAUUGGUACAAUUCACCAACCAAAUAAAAGGAGGGAAAGCUUUACCAGUUGUGCGGACGGAUUAGCCUUAAUUAACUUAUUAGUAAGUAAGAUCUUGGCUUUGUAUUGCCGCUUUUCCUAGAUAUAGCAUAGUAGUGCGUUUGCGAUAAGAUUGAAUUGAAACUCGAAGUGAGAGCAUGCAUUUCCAGCCAUACGGAGAGAAUUACCCGCCUACCUGGAUGGCCUGCCUAGUAGUUCUUUUGACCUGGAUGGUCCGCCUGCCUAGCUGUUAGCUUCAACAGGUUGCUAAGCAUUAAACAGUGGAGCUGUAUUUGUUUAUAUUUAUUUAAUUUGAACCAUUGGGAAAAGGGAACUGCUAAAUCUGCCUGUGCUCAUUAUUAUUUUGAACCAUUCCAUACAUGAAUCAAAUGAUUGAAGCAACCGAAUCAAAUGAUUGAAGCAACCGAAACACCCUACGUGUAAGUGUGUAACACAAGUCGUGUUGUGUGCGUGGAAGGCGUGCAUUCUUCGGGGGUGUUUGGCACAUAGGGGCUAAAAUUUAGCACCUGUCACAUCGGACGUUUGAUACUAAUUAAGAGUAUUAAACAUUGGUUAAUUAUAAAACUAACUGCACAACCCCUAGGCUAAAUUGCGAGACGAAUCUAUUAAGCCUAAUUAGUCCAUGAUUUGACAAUGUGGUGCUACAGUAACCAUUCUUUAACGAUGGAUUAAUUAGACUUAAUAGAUUCGUCUCGCGAUUUAGCCUCGGAAUUCUGCUAUUAGUUUUGUAAUUAGCUCACAUUUAAUCAUCCUAAUUAGCAUCCGAAUAUCCGAUGUGACAGGGCUAAAGUUUAGCCCAUAUCUCCCAAACACCCCGAACUUAUCCUCUCUCGGAAAAAACGCAACUGGUAUGCGCAUGUUGACGGCUUCUUUGAAUCAAAAGUCACACCACAGCGACUGGAAGACGACUCGAGCAGGGUCAACAGGCGGAACGUGGAAGCGCCGCAGAUGACACGACUGACCCGCCGGUCGCAUGCGUUCUCACGCCAAAUUCCCCCGUCCCCGCCGGUGCCCGGCGAGGUUGUGCGACGCCGACGCCGACCUCGAGCGGGCGCGGUGGGCUGGGAGCCUGGGAGCCGGAGAGCGCCCACGAUCCCGUCCCGUCGGAUGCGCUGCCCGCCACGUAACGCUCGUACGAUUGGUCUAUUAUCCUCCAAGAUGAUACUUCCUGCGAUCUCGUCUGAUCGAACUGAUUAUGGGAAAAAAAAAAUAGAAACAAAGAAAGAAGAAGGAUUGAUUAUCGACGAGGCAGCAGCGAUAUUUCUGCGUCGUCCGUCCCACGGUCCCACCCAUGACCAUGAUCCCAUGUUACCCGGGGCUCUGCAUGUGCCAACCGCUGAGCAAUCAUUGGACGGGCCGUCCACGUCAGAGCGCGAGCAUCGCUCGCUAGCUAGCACUAAACAACCGGAUAAGCACGGGCGCUUUGGCUCGAUUCGCGCUUGCAGCAUGCAGUUGGGCAUGCAAACCGGAUCCGUUGAUUAAUUUUGUAAGUUAGGAUCACAUCGCAUGUUUAAUACCUCCUACCUGGAGGUCUAAACAUAAACUAAUUAUAAAAUUAAUUGCGUAAAUUGGAUUAAUUCGGGAGAUGAAUCUAUUAAACUUGAUUAAUUCAUAAUUAGCAUAUAUUUACCUAGCGUGAUCAAAUCAUGGACUAAUUAGAUUUAAUAGAUUCGUCUCGUGAAUUAAUCUUUAUUUAUUCAAUUAAUUUUAUAAUUAAUCUAUAUUUAAUAUCUAACUUAGAUACGAUAGGAAUAAAAGGAUCCGAACACCCCUUCAGCUCGAUCGUCUCACUGACAGUGACCGGAUCACUGGACCACCGCCUCUAUGUACGGUCACACCACACCAGGAGUCGUCGCUGUCUUUGUUUCCUUUUCUCUCUUUUUGAUCGAGUCGUCGUUGUAACCGGUGAUGUGCACGCGGUAGACGGCCAAUAGUAAGAUAAAAGUGAUUCUGGGUAUUGUUUAGUUGGCAAAGUUUGGAGGUGUCAAAUUACUGUUACAGCACUGUAGCACACUGUAGCGUUUCGUUUGUAUUUGUGAAUUAUUGUCCAAAUAUUGACUAAUUAGGCUCAAAAGAUUCGUCUCGUAAAGUACAACAAAACUGUGCAAUUAGUUUUUAAUUUCGUCUACAUUUAGUACUCCAUGCAUGUAUCACAAGUUUGAUGUGAUGAGGAAUCUUUUUUUUUUCAUAGUGUCAAAGUUAGGAGUUGGGAUGAACGGACCUGGUCCCGCUAGGAGGCACGGCUGCCUUGUUCUUGAUGAUCGUGAUAAAGCUGCUGCUGUUUUGACGACGCUUCCUGCACUUGGUCGACAGUGACAACGUUACUGUCGCUAGCCGGCAGCUUCCUGCACCUGGACGGGUGCAGCCUGAUCGUUUCGUUGAAUAAUCGGACAGAUGGAACUGCACUCUGCAUUCGCACUGCAUCCACUCCUUUCGCGCUAAGCCAAUGACACGUACGGAUGGAGGAGGAAUAAUCAAUCAGGAGGCGAAGUGAUUAUUCCACUGAUUGGCCUCGUCGUCGGCGGAGCGAUGAUGAUGGGAUUUAGAUGCGCCGGGUGAUCGCGCGAGGUCUGUCGGGCAGAAGCAGCAGCAGGAGAUGAGGAGAAAAGGAGAGAUCAAUCCAUGCGCCCUCCGCUAGCUAGCUUUUUCGUAAAGCCACAGGCCAGCCGACAUCACUGCAUGCAAUUGAAAAUGAAGUCGGUGGGUGGGUGUACUGGUGUUUGUUAGAGUUUGAUCUCCACCGAUCGAGUCGGACCCUAUCUCACGUCCUGAUUGGGGAUGCACAAUCAACUCAUGGUUGCGGUUUUCCAUCAAGCAGUGCUAUAAAGAGUGAGGUGAGGUGGGCUGGGGGUACGCAUGCCGAAGUUCGCCGCGCCCACUUGCCCACCUAACAGAAUUGAGAACCCGAUCUACUAGCGCUGUAAGCAGUGGGAAGUUCCACCGCCACUCGCGUCGCGCUGCCACCGCCCACACUAGCCAUCGACGCCACCGUCACCGCCCAUGGCCAGCUCUUCUUCUAAGACCGAUGGUUGUUUUCUCUAAUCUCUGUACUAUCUCUCUCUGCCUCUCGAUUUCUCUUGAUCAAGACCCACUAGAUGUGCUGUCGUUGAUCACUUAUUUGAGUAACUAAGUUAAGUGCUAAGCUAGUUGAGAUCCUUCAAUGGUAUCAGAGCCGUGUUUUGACAAAAAUCUAGUUUGGGGAAGUUACUCUCGCGAUUAAGAAGGAGGGGAAUCGAAUCAAAGAGAGAACCUAACCAUAAAGACGACGACCGUCGGACUUCAACCGACGGCCGCCGGUAGUCAAACCCUAACCCUACGAGAAGAUCCAAAGAAAGGGAAACGGGGUUGGGGAGCUUAUCUUUAUUCCAAAUGUCACCGGAUCCGCUCCGGGAAGAAGCCAGGCUCCGCCGUCGACGCUUGCGCCGCUAAGGGCCUCCUCGCAGCGCCGCUCGACGGCAAUGCACUCACCCUUGGGUGAACGCAUGCGCCGACAAAGGGGGCUGUGGAGGGGCCACCAAGGCCGCUAGCGAAGGGUGGAAGGGGGAGCCGCGCGCGUCGUCGAGCUUCGAUCCGCUCCGCUGACGGCUUUGCCCGCUCCGCUUGGUGCCACCACUCACUCGCGCUUACGGCGGAGAAGGAAGGAAAUGACCUAGGGUUGACUGGGCGCGACGCGGAAGGGGGUUUUGUUUCCCCGAAAACGAUGCUCAGCCGUUGAUUACGAAUGGACAGCCGAGAUACGUCGGGCCGGCUUUCGGCCAAGACGGAAGGUGGAAUUGGCGGCUCAGGCCUAGGCUAGCCUAGGAAAGCCACACGGGCAAACACGUUAAGCAGGGCGGGUCAUAUUGUCGCGUGGGCCGGCAGAACCGUAAACUUUGAGCCCUUUUUUUCCUUUUUCUUUUUUCAGCGAAUUUACGUAUUUUUCCUAGAAAUUGAUUAAUGGCUAAAGUAAAAUUAGUUUUUAAGGAAUUUUUUUCCUGUGGGUAAAAUUCAUGAAUUAAGUUUGAGGCUCAGUAAGCUUCCGCUGUGUUAAGUUUAAGUUAAGUUGAAUUUUUGGCAUUAUUUUGCCAAUUUAAGCAUUAAGUCAAGAUUUUUUAUUUAUCUUUCUAGUUAAAUUGGAACCAACGGGAAACUUUAAUUAGAAAAUAAGUAAUUUUUCUGAGUAUAAUAAUUUUAUCUACUUACCAACGUUGUUGAUAAGAUUAUUACAGUAGCAAGUUUUAUUUUGUCAUUAUUGAUUCUAUUUCUUCCCAACGGUGAUGUAGAAUUAAUAUUGAUAUUUCAUGUUUUAAUUCGACCUACGUGGAAUUAAUUCAUGUGUUGUUUUGUUUCUGAAUUUUAUUUUUCAUGCAAUCCAUUAAGUUAUAUUUCGUCCAUAGAGCCUCACAAUGGAGGGAUUUACGACUCAUGGUGAAAGAAGAUUGAGAUAGCGCUUGCGCUGUCAGACAUUGAUCUCACACUGACAACUGAUUGCUCCGUUGCUCCUGAGGACCCCGUGAGGGGUGAAAAUGAGCGAUGAGGAUUUCACCACCCGAGUACGUGAGCAUGCACCACCUGUUAGAGCGAAGUAUGAUCUUGAUCGUGUGCAAUGGGAUCAAUCGAACCGCAAGUGCUUGAUGGUGAUUAAGAGCUCCAUUGAGGGGGCAAUAAGGGAAGCAAUCCCAGAAUGUACCACCGCUACUCCCUAAGGAAGGUGGAGAGUUAGUUUACUGGCUCUUCAAAAGCUUAUGCAAGCACUCUUAUUAAGGGCUCCUUUGGCAGGGCUCCUCGCGAGGGGCUCCUCGUGCGGAGCCGGAGCCGGAGCCGCGGAGCUACUUUUUUGGGCUCCUCCAUGCAGGUCUAAAACGGCUCCGGCUCCUCCCAAAUGUGCCAAAAAAUGGCUCCGCGGUCAAUGCCGUUUGGUGCGGCUCCGGCUCCUCCGUGCUUCGGUAAGCGCACGGAGCCGGAGCGGGAGCCCUGCCAAACUGGCCCUAAGAUUCUUGUCAUUGAGAAAUAUACUGGUGGAGGGGUAAGAGAGCAUAUAUUGAGGAUGAGUAACAUGGCAUCCAAGCUCAAGCCUAUGGACAUGGGGCUCAGUGAUGAGUUUCUAGUUCAUUUAAUUUUUGCCUCUUACGAGCAGGUCCCACUGGUCAUUGAGAUAAAGAGGAGGUAGGCUGGGCCGGGAAUUGGAUAGGAAGGAUUUUGGCCCAAUUAAACUAGCUCGGUUUCUAAUUCAAACGAAAUCGAAUUCAAAUGAAUUUUGAAAUAUAAUUUUCAUCCAAUAAAAACCUAGUGCAAACUAUACGGCAUGAAUGCACAAAACAAAAUUAUAUAACCUAUAUUGAUUAUUUAUUUAGAAAAAUACAUAUUUUUCUAUAAUCAAAUGUUUUGCAACGAACUAAUUGUUGGAAAAUUUUAGAAAUACGAGAAAAAUCUAUUGUUUUAUUAGUGUUAAUUGUUCACAUCCCAAAAUAGAAAUUUUGGGGUGUGACACAUGGGACAUGGCACGGGAUGAUGGGACGAUGGCAGGAGAGAGGACGAUGGGUGGGUUCCAGUUCCUCGCUUGCCGGCCGGCUGGGUCGCCGUCGCCGCUGCCGAUGCCGGAGCGAGUCCGUGCCGGCCCCCCGUACGAAGCCGCUGCGAGCGAGAGGGCGCGGCGCCCGGCUCGAGAAAUCCCUUUCGAUCGCGUGGGUGCCACUCCGGCGUCUCCGCGCGGGCCACCUCACCUGGUACACGCGCGCUGUGAACGCGUGACCGCGCCGCGCUGCGAAAUCAUGGUCCCGUCGAGCGCAAUGAUCCGUCAUCGGUCGAUCCUGUCCAGGUUCCCUGCUGCGUGCCGUGCCGUGGAUAACUGCCGGCCGGUCCCAACGGCACAGUCCUGUCUGCGAUUGAUGCUACGCUUUUCCUGUGCAAGCGCCAUUGAGUGCGGUGUUUCAGUCUUUCAGAGGUGCAGGUGCAACAACCGGGGGGCGGUGAGCGCGGAUGAGGCAAACACACGGCACGGGACGGCGGUUUUCGAUCGCUCAACCCUCAGUAUCGGAUCAUGUCUUUUGCUCAUACCAAAGCAAGCUGAUGAUAGACGAGGAAUCAUCUGUCGUACGAUGGAGGCAUGGAGCAAUGGAGCAUGUAUCUCAAUCCUCACAAACUAGCAUCCAUGGCGAUGGUCUAAGGUGGUGCCCCACAGAACGGCAUUAGCUUUGCUGUCCAGGGGGUAGUGCUGCGCCUAGGUGCAGGACCAGCGAACCAACGCGACGGCCAACGGUAAAUGAAGCCUUCGGGCACGGUACACGCGCUUGGUCUUUACAGUGUUCGAUUCUUCCGGCUUCUACUGCAUCAUCCACACUCCCUCCGUUUGGUGGUCAUACUGUACGCACAUGUCGUUUCCGACGUAGCUGGAAAAGGCUACAUGGGUCUUUCCUUGCUUGUGCUCUACUGCUCUGCACAGCUCUCAUCUCCUGUGCUUGCGCCUCACGCGGCAUGUGAGGACGAUGCUGCUGCCCUGCUGGGAUAAGCGCCCGUGCCAUCGUCAGGGGUACAAGCACAGGAGUUCCCACUGCAUCCCAGUCCAGUCCCUACGACCCACCGAUGGCAGUCGCUACCUUCUUGCCCCUGCCGCCCUCUUCCUCUUCUCCCAUGAUAGCUCCUCGAAUGAAUGAUCGUACACACUGCAGCGUGAGAAGCUGUAGCUACUUAUGGGUAAAGAUGGAGCAGCAGCCGCAUGGAAUGACCGCAGCGACCGGCUUGAUUUCUUCACCCACCGUUGUUACAGCCCGGCCACCAGUGAUAUAAUUGAUCUCACGUCCUCAAUUAGUACAUCCAUGGAGUAAAGAAAAACAAUUAGUACGUCCUUGUUAAGAUUCAUCGUGACGGCCGGCUCAUAUAUGGUGCCUCUGGCCAGGGUGUUAGUGCAGGAGCAGGCAAUCUUCAGAACAUGCGAAGUGCUCUUCAGGCCGAACGGGAAGCAUGUCGAUCUACAAAACCAUUUGCUAUGCAUUGCAUCUGGUUCUGGCAUGGGCAAGAUCAUCAUUGAAACAGAUGGGCUCACGGUGCAGCAGCAUGCAUUGGAAAGCUCAACCCAUCAUCUUUCAAUUCUCCGAGUCCUUUUCAGAGAAGUCAAGCUCCAGCUGUUCGAUUGGAGUCUAAAAUGCUUAUUGUACACGAUCAUGUAAACUGAUUCGUGGCCUGACUCGAUUCUGAUAGGUAUUACCGAAUUGUGACCAGCGAUUUAGCAAAAUCCAAAUAGUUUAGUUUGUUUCCUCACAAAGAUUAGGUUUGACAGAAAGCUGCAUGCUAAACUGACGAGUGGGCAUGCACUUGGCUCUUGUUCUUUGCCACCAGCAGCUUUGCGAAAGAGGUUCUUUUGUAGAGUACUACGUUAGUGAUCGGUCCCUGUCACCGAUAACGGAGUCCGGUUUGUAGCCAGAUUACGGUGGCGUCGCUUUCAUACUUUCACAUAAUCGACCCCUCUAAGAAGCUAAGUUCACCACACUGGUUCUUCACGGCUCUCUGCAGCUACCAAACAGAACCACUCAGUAGGUUUGGUGGCCUCACAAGCAUGCUUAGUUCUCUGGCGUAGAGCUAGAUCGAAAGAAACCAGAUCGCCCUGAAUUCACGGUGCAUACCGCUCCCAAGGAACACCACCACUCCCAAGGACAGAUGGAAGAAGAUGAAGCUGGACGGACCGAGGAAGUCGAAGCGGAGGAGGAAGACGAAGCGAUACGGACGAGACGAGAGGAUAAGAUUGCGGAGCUGCGGUUCACGCGCUUUGACCUGUGGGACCCACGUCCAGGGGCUCUCGCGUUAGAGAUAAGCAGAGAGUACCCUCUCUCUAGUCACCUCCAUUUUUUUUUUGAGUGGCUACUGCAGGACCAACGAAUGGAUCAAUGGGUCACGGAAGGAAUGGAUCCACAUAUUGACACGUGCGUUACUACGGGCAAAGUGUAUGUGUAUACAUUAUCGAUUGCUUUUACGAUUCUAAACAAUAACGCUGUAUAUCCCAUGCAAUCUCAGCCGUUUAACGAUGAUAUGACGAUCACAACACCACGAAUCUAAUCCUGAUAAAUAAAAAAAACAAUCCACAAGCCAAUUCCAUGAAACCCUGGCUUCAACUUCUUCUCUUUCAAGUUUUACAAGAGGAACCGGUGCGACUGCCAGUUCUCCGCGUUCGGUUUUUCACUCUUCCACUUGGCCCCGAAUUCACAAUGCAUCCCACUCCGAUCCGAUCCGAUCCCCAGCAAGAACACACCCCCGUCCAUGUCUUCCUUGCCGCUCUCCUCUUCUCUCAUUCUAGUUGCCCCCUCUCCUCCUCUCUCUCAUUCUCGUCUUAUUAGCAGGUAUAUGUGGACAAAGUCUCCAUUUUCAGGCACCUCGAGAGGAGCCGGAGAGGUGAAGUAUUUGUAGGGCCGGCGGGGAGUGAGCGACUUGAGUUCCUCACCCACCAGCCGGGCCACGGCCACAAUUUGAUCUUGUCAUGCCCAGCAUGUACAUGCUCCAAGACAAUAUUGGCAAAAAAAAACAAGGCGAGGACGGUUGCUUGACGAACAUUCAACACAUCUUUUGUACACGGAGUGAGUGACUUGAGUGUUCCUCACCCACCAGCCGGGCCACGAGCCCACAACCGUAUAUAAUUUGAUCUUGCUAUGCUCAGCAUGUAGUACAUUCUUCAAGGCAAUAUUGGCAAUCAUUCAGGAGUAGUAGUAACGAAAACAAGACGAACAUUCAACAGAUCUUCUACCCACAUUACUAUUCCGGGCGGCCACAACUGGGAUCACGAAACCGAUUCACUAUCAGUCUAUCAUGCAUGAUAUGGCUGCCUGUAUGAAAUCUGGAGAAUUAUUAUCAACUAGCAUUACGAUUUACAAAUUUGCAAUGCAAGUUGGACACCAUCCUCCGGCAGCAGCCUAGCACCUACAGCAGGCAGCAUCUGAGGUCCGCGCAUGAGGCUCAAGCGACCAGGAUCAACAGGCGCAUACAUGUAUGGAUGCAAGCAGACGCAGCCAUGCGCUGGGCAUUGAAGAGUUCCUCAGGUGAGGGCCCUAACCUGGCUCCGCCGCUUCAGGGGACAGCUCUGUCGUGGCUCCGCCACUGUACCCAACCAUUGUUGCUGCCCUGCAUGUUCGUCUACAAAAGAUGGAGCCACCAUUGCGUCCUCCUCUCCGAAUUCCUAUUGCAUCUCACUCCCAUGACACACACCGACGGCGCUCUACAUUUCCGUGUCUGCUUCUCCCACUCUUCUUGGAAGCCGAGUGGUAUGACGAACCACAUUUGCAGCUUCAAUUGUUGGUGACGGCGCAGUGAGAAGCUAGUACCUAUUUAUAAGGUAGGAUGCAGAGCGACUGACUUCAGACCGACCGGACAAAGGCGGCGCCUGCUUCGUGUUGUUGGGCUAAUGCAUGGCUACGUGGGCUGUGUUCCUGUUGGGCUCCAACAACGCAGCCUAGAAUUGUAGUAACGCACCCGACAAAUAAACAGGCGUGACCUUUUUUCCCCCUCUCUACUUUUGUACCACAUGGGCAGGUAAAAUGGGUCUAGCAUCGUUCAUAUGUGAACAUGCAACCAUUGCCACCAGACCGCGUGGAAGGCGUGGUUAGCAAACUCUCAUAUGAAUUAUUGGGAUAAAAUUCAUGAAGCACACUAAAUGAUGUGCUUAGCCUUUUUGUUUCUGAUCUUUUUUUUUGUUUUCAAGAAACAUUUGUCUUCCUUUCAAAAAAAAGAGAAACAAUUGUCGUCCAAUGAUGAUCUCAACUACCCAAGAGUAAAGAAAAACAGGAAAAGAAUUAGUUUCCUCCCUCCCCUGCCGAGUGACCAUUUUCUUUUUUCAAGAAACAUUUGUCGUCCAAUGAUGCUUUCAAUUAUCCAAGAGUAAAGAAAAACAAGAAAAGAAGUUUCCUCAGCUCGCCCGGCCCAGUCGCGCGCACAAAACGCAGUAGCGCGGCCCGCAUGAUGGGCCUGCCGAGCACUUCCGAAGAAAGCCGUGAGAUUACAGCCUGUAUGAAAUCUGGACAGAUUUAGGGCUGCUGCGAGCCUGCGACUAUGAAUGACACAGAUAAUUCAACAUUCCAACAUACUGCAGUACAAAACCACCUCAGUAUCAUGAGAUGCCUGACUGCACGUUAUCUGGAUGAUUUUCACAUAAUUUGGACACAGCACAAGGCAACAAGCCCUAGUUAGCUAGGCAGGGAUCGAAAACCAGAGCCGCACUUGAACCUGAACAACCCAACACGCAAUAUCCAAAAGAAUCGAUCAUAAGCUAACAGUUGGAUGUACAUCUACCAGUAUUGUUAGCUUCUAUAACGUUACUGAAGCGGAAUGUAACCAGACGAGCAAAACAGCAUUGUACAAACCCAUGUCAUGCUAGAGUUAACCCUGUAACUUAAAAGGCUAAUGCAAACCUAUACAAAAUCUAAUCAACCCUGUCAAGAUGAAUCCCCUUGCAGCAUAUACAAAAUAAGGAUUGCAACCGACUGUUAGAAGCAAUUUGAAAGAAUGAAUCAUCAGGUUGUCUUGUUUGAUCUGGUGCAAUAUCUAAGGCUCCACAAAAGAAAUCAUGGGGAAAGGGAAUGCCUCCUCAUGCUUGCCGGUGGCAGUGACUGCUAUCUCCUUCCUGCUCAGAUGGAGAAUAAACAAGAUGAGUACCAACUGAAAAGAAUAUGAUUGCUCGCAUGUGGAGUAUACUGGGGGAAUAAACUCUGCUUUUUGUGAAUUUGGCAACUUGAUAUUGUAUGGAAUUACUAUAGACCAACAGAUAGGUUGACAGAAAUGGAAAGAAAAUCAGCAUAACAUGUUUGCAAUGUGCAGUGCUAAUCAUCAUUAGGUGAUUAAUUCUGUUCGAAAAACUGUGGGACAAGAUUAACACAUGUUGUUUCUUUGAAUGGGGUGGCUAUGACAUCCACCAUCAACAUGUGCUGCUUAAAUACAACGCAUAGAAAACUUUGCAACUUCAAAUUCAGACAUAGCAAUUAAGCAUUGUCCAUUUCAAAUAUCUGCCACAAACCAUCACUACACAGUGAUUAUUGAACUUUGGACAGAACAAGGAAAAAGAACAUGUUAAAUAUUCCAAGGAAAAGAUGUGUGUAAAGCAAAAUUGAGACUCACCUUGAAUGUCAUAUAUAUACCAGCCACUUGGAGAUAUCCAAAUCAUUGCACAAUCUUAAGCAACAUUACUCCAACAUUCUGAGCGGUAAUGUGAAGCAUGGGAAGGAAAUGGUACCUAACUAAUCCCUAGGUCAGCCCUAUUGAGAAUGUUAUAGCUUAACCUCGAGUCAAUUAUUCUUCUGCUUAGCUAGUCCGAUCAGAAUAUUUCCCUAAGGAAAUCCAAAAAUAGCCUUUUCCUUAUUAUAGAUUACUGCUAUGAGGCAAUUUGAGUUGACAGUCAGCAGAAUUUUCAACCAGAGCAGCAGCAAGCAACAAACGGGGGAGCUAAGGGCACUCAUGCUGAGGGUUUGAAGUCCUUUGACUGAGUACACUAUAAAGUCACUACCACCUGAAAGUCAAUGUCAUGCUCAGCAGGAACAGCCUUCUCAGAAUCAUCCUUGGAUGGCAAAACAAGAGAUUCCUUGACCGGACCAGUUUCAGGUGUAACGACCAACGCCUCUUUGCCAGAUAUUCUAAUGUUGUUGAAGUGUUCAGCUAGAAAAUCACCUGAAUCUUUUGGGAUUCUAUUAUUCUCCAGCUCUUCCAAGUUGUUAUGAUUAUCAAGCUUCAGGCUAUUAAAACCAUCGAGUUCCAUAUGACAUCGUGUUUCUUCAGCAGCAAACUUGCUACUUGCAAUACCAUCAAGCUCCCCUUGACUGUUAUGGUCAUUGAGCCCUUUCCAAUUGUACUGUCCAUCUAGUUCGUUCAGAUAACUAUGAUUCUUAAGCUCUUUGUCAGUUCUACAGCUGUCAAGAUCGUUCAGAUUGAUGUGAUUGUUGAGCUCUUUCAGACAAUUAUCGUCACCAGGCUCUUUCUCAGAGCCAGGACUGUCAAGCUCUUUCACUUCAUUAUGGGCAUCUAGCUCUUUCAAACUUUUAUUAGCAUCCAGUUCUUUCUCGAUGCUAUGAGUAUCAACCUCUUUCAGAUUGCUAUGAUCAUUCAGCUCCUCUAGAGAACUAUUAUCACUGAGCACUUUCUCAGCAAUAUGACCAUUGAGCCGUCUCUCAAUGUCAACCUCCUUCAGAUUACUAUGAUCAUGAUCUUUCUGACUACCAUGAGCAUCAAGAUCUUUUGAACAACUGGGGUCCUCGUCCUCUACAAACUUGUCGAUGCUGUGCUCCUCAUCCUCUACAAACUUGAUGCCGUGAUCCUUAUCUGAUUCAGUCUGUGCAUAUGGACAGACAGGUAAACUUCUCAGACGGCAUCUAUGGCACUUGAAACCAAUGAGAUUGUUCACAUUCUCAACGGUAACAGAGUAUAUAUCCCCAUGAAACCAAUCUGAAAGCAAAAGCAAAUGUAAUAAGGAUUAUGGGAUGCAAAAUAUGAAAACUUCCCAACACAUGAAGAGCAACAAAGAAAAAUCAUACACAUCCAACAUAUAAAACUGCAACAACAAUUACUUGUGACUAGUGCUCCUAUGUUCUUCCAAGUGAAAAUCACAGAUUUCUACUACUCUACAAACAAUACACUUUGCAAUUUGUUUAAAUUAAUUUGUAGGACAUAAGAGCACUACUGCUUCCUUGCUGAGUCGUGAGGAAGGAUGCUCCUUUGCACAGACAACACAACCAGACAGAAAUACUUAAAAGUAGCUUAGAACAAAAGAAAAAUAAUACCUCGGUUCUUUCAUUCUUUUUUGUUGUUUAGCUAUUCAAAAGUGUGUAGUUAUAGGAUUUCGAGUACUUGCAUCUACUCCAUUUAAAGAUUGAUAUGUUUUUCCAUUUAAUUCCUCGUUGGUUGCCACAGGUGGUUGCGGAAACAAACUCAAUGAAGCACUCCUUCCGUUUCUACUUGGCACUUUUGACCAACUGCAUGCAUAUUUAGGCAAUCAUAUUUUGAAUUGGGUUGGACAAUUACCCUUGUAACAGCUGCCCAACCUAACUACUGGUGCCAGCUGAAAAAUGUUUUCCUCCACUCUCAGCAUAAGUGCAAGAACACGAGUCAUCUCAUUGGUCCCAGUGUUAGCCGCAAUUUUGUUUUCCCUCUAAAAAGUCUGCAAUUAUUUUCUUUCAAGCUUUGCAAUGCUACGAAGAAACAUUCAACACAGCAUUGGAACUGGAUAAUUUGUAAAAGCUGCCUAAACGAGCUGCUGGUGCCAGCUGAAAAAUGUUCUCUUCCGUUCUCUGGAUAUGCGCAAGCACAUGUGCCAUCUCAUUGGUGCCAAUGUUACCGCAGCUUUUGUUUUUUCCUAUAAAAAAAAGGCUGCAAUGCUUUCCUUUUCGAGCUUUGGAAUAUCGCUGACUAGCGCAGUGGCACGGCUACACCUCUUGAUUGAUCACAAUGACAAAACUGGAAAAUGACGCAUUGGCAAAUACGUGGUGCGCCAAAAAUUUGGGGAAGGAAAACUCGGUCACAUGUGCCAAGUAUUAUGAAGCAGAGGGUGUAGUACGCAACACAGCUUUAGUAGGGAGAGGGACAUGUAGAACUUUCCAUAAUAACCGUGCCCAAGGCUAAAACGACAAAAAAACAAACAGAAGGGGUAAUAGUCAAAUAGUUUCAAAGAGGAUGAUCGCCUAAAUAGGUAGGUGCCUACUGUACACACUAUGUAAUAAAAACACAUAAUAAAGAAGAUUGUUUUUUCUCACAUAAUAGCUAACUGACCAUGAAGUUGUUCUAAGAUCACAAAGAGAUGUCAUGCAAGCAAAGCUCUGCUUACCUUCACAUUUUUCACAAGCAAUAUAAAUAUCCUCUUCACUGUAGCAUUUGUCACACAAACAGCAUACUGGGCUGACUUCAGACAUUUCAGCAUCUUCGGAUGGAAAAACUACUCUUUCUUUCCUGAAACUUAUUGCCCGUUCAUCAUGUGGAUUUUGUGUCCAUCGAAGGCCAUUUAACCAGUAUGAAUACUGCAAAGCAGUCCGCUUCCUCUUGCGACAGCUAGCUGCAUGCUCGGAUACGUUUGAGCUGCCUUUCAUGUACUUAUCAUACAAUCGUUUUGAUAUACGUUUCACUGGUUCAUUUUUGGGCACAUUGGAAGAUUCACUCUCACGCAUCUUGGGUAAUUCACUCUUUGAUGGAUCCAGUGGGUACUUCCUAGGCCGACCACGCUUACCCUUUUUGCCAAUUUUCUUCUUGUAUUUGAGAACAAUCUGAUUUCUCCUAGUCACAAUCUUGUGUGAUCGCUUCUUUUGUUUCUUUUGCUUCUUUUUGGGAGAUGACUUCUUUGGUGCAGCCUUUUUCUGAGGAGACUUCACCUUUAAGACCUUUUCAGCUAAGCACUUGUUGCAAACAUAAACAGUAUCUGCAGCACCUCUAGGAACCUUGAAAUGUUUUCUAUGGAAAAGAGCUGCAUCGGAUAAGAUAAAGUACAUAAGUGACAAACUUAGGAAUAACUGCAAAUAAAACUCCACGCAUCAACAACCCAAGUAAAAGGAAAAAACUUAACAGUUGAUGAUUGAUUAGCUAGUGCAAUAUUAACAGUCGAUGGAAAUUUCUUUUAUCCAAUGGCAACAUAGGAGACCACAGAAAAUGCAUGUAAAAAUAAGAACUUGAGGGUUAUAGUUAUGCAUAUGCAAAACGACAAAGAUGUGCACGUGCAACAGGGCAUACCUGCGCAAUACUGGCAGUUCACAGCUUCCCUGUUGAAAAAGAGAUUGAAAGAGUCAGAUUAACUAGUCAAAAGAAUUUACUAUGAUACAAAAGAAGCAAAUAACAAAUAUAUUGCCACAUUUAGAACACGAUGCAAGAGUUUACUGGCCAAACAAAUAGCUGCAAGAAUCAAAAACUACCAUACACAGUUCCUAUAUAUAGCAUAACUGAUCUGAUGUGCCCCUGAAAUCCAUAUGUGCUCUGGUCCCGUUUGGAGGCAAAGGGUGUGUUAGUUUUUCCUUUCUAGUUGUUACUCUGCUGUUGUCUUACUCAUGUGUAUGUCGCUGAGUUACUUUGAACUCUAAACUCUGACCAUUUUGGUCCUAUUGCAAUGUAAAUGGGCCGGGGGUCACCCCUAGAACUCUAGAAAAAUAUAUACCAUAACAAGCUUUCCAGAGUAAUUAGCUCACUUGAAUAACUUGUUCAGAAAUAGCACCACAAGUUAGAUUGGUAAUCAUGCACCUAGACGGUUUAGAAAACAACACUAAAUUCUAACACAGCACAAUUUAAUAAGGUAAGAAACCUAUUAACACACUGGCUGGUAAACACUCCUAGAAAAGUAUAAUGAUUGUAUCUGAAUGUGUGUGUAAGUGUGUGGUGGUGGUGGUGUGUGUGUGUGGGGGGGGGGGGGGGGGGGUGUUGAAGGUUUAUAGCAGAUCAGUUUUUGCAAGGCAUAUAUAAGUAUAAAAGAGUUAAAAAUGCCACUGUACCGAGGCCCUAAUCUGCGUAUCGCAGCUAUCUAACACAUACUGCAUCCUAACAGCGGAUACGAAACAUUACAACAGCACAUCACUCAUGCAUUGUACUGAGUAGCAACAGAUAUUGGCAUAACAAAAUAAUCCAAAAUCGUGAAAAAAAAUCUUAUAUCUAUAACGUUCACAACUUGGACAAAAUUUAUAAGUUUAACUAGUUUGUUUGAACUGAGCUAAACCUUAAGCAAUUGCUGCUAAUAAUUGAUAGGGUUAGGGUGAGUAUGCUGUGGUUGAGAAAAAAUAAAUAAAAGAAACUAUUAGAAGGGAGAGGAAAAAGGUAAGUGUCAUACCUUGCAACCACUUCCUUGUUACAAUGACCACAAAGCCUGGUGGAUUGCUUUUCUGCUCUUUCAAAGAGGUAAGCAAACCCGGUCUUUUUUGGCAUUUUGGGUUUGGAGUCACGCACCUUCUUAGUCUUCUUAGGAAGUUCAUCAGUUUCCUUCUUUUUCAGCAGGCGAGCAAACGCUUUGGCUUCAUAUGCCUUCAAUAGAUUCAGAGGGACAUGGCCUUCACUUAACCAGUACCUGUUCCUCUCGCUAGAGGGAUCCUCAAAUUUUGUUCCGUGUUUAGAAAUAACAGGAGGAAUGUUCUCUCUCUUUCCAAAAUCAAGUAGAUAUUCAACAUUUGUUCCUUCUAUGCGUUUUCUUCGAAUUAUAACUUUCUUAAAAAGCCUUGCUAUUUUCUGCAUUUCCUUGGUCAUGAGGCUAGAAGGGAGAGUGCUCAGUAUCUCAGUCCACUUGAUAUUCCAUUCAAGCUCUUUAAUCUGCAGGUACACGAGGAGAACAAUUUAAUGACCAAAUUUUACUGAUUGUUUUUCAAAACAAGCUAUUACCUGCAAAAUGAGCUGGGCCACAUUUUCUGCCAUUUCCACAGCAGCUCGCCAAGCAAUGUAUUUGAACCUCCGAGCAAAUUGUGAACCAUCGGUGUACAAAAUCGUUGGAAUUUUCCUACGUCCCGCUGAAGUAUACCAGGUCAAAAAGGUUUAGCACAAAUACAAUAGUAGCAAAAAUCUAAAAAUUGACAGAAGGUUGGUUUGGUCAUAAACCUUGCCGAGCAGCUUUGUAGACCAGUGACUGAGGCAACCUCUUCCAAUGAAACACUUGACGAGAUAAUUUUCCGCCCCUCCACCAAUAAACACCAACAUUACGAGAGUCAACUUUAAGUUCACCAUUAGAAGAUGGUUUCCUCCCUGGCUUUCUAGCAGUUCCAUGACUUAGAGAUUUAUUAGAUGAACGGACCAAUAUGUGAGCUGCAGAACCAACCACUUCAACAGAGUCUGCCGGUUUCUGCCAUUCCAUAGAAAUGGCAACACGUCGCAGACUGGACUCUAACUGCAGAGUAUGGCAGAAAAGUAUGUAUCAUUGUAGGGUAUACAGAAUUAGGAAAAAAAAAACAUAAGACAGAAGCAUAUGACAAGUUAUACCAUUAGAAGAGGCUGCUUAAGUGAUGAUACAUCUGCAGCCUUGAGAACCUCCUUACGCCAAUAUAUGCGAUAUUGUGGAUUUUGCCAAGGACCAGUCAGCAGACCAUUCAACCUUUCUUCAAUUGACAAAAUGUUAUGCAUAGCAAGGAUGAUAUGACUUUCCAUAUUUUUUUCUGCUUCGACACCCAAAGCAUGUGGCUUGGUGCCUUCCAUGCAUUUAACAUCAGUUACUCUGAAAAUGCAGUCAACGCCGCCACUGAUUUGACAGGAGUUGCACCAUCCACACUUUUCUUUAAGCAGCUCGACAGAAAGCUUUUGAUCAGUUAGUGCAAAAAUGUUAGCAUAUUUUUUACAUAUUGUUCUCAGAUGGAAAGAGAGUGCAUCCUGAACAGGUUUCUUCCCUUCCUUGUUUUCAGACAGCUUGUGUUUUAGCUCUUCAGCAGCUGAAGCUGCUAUUUGACCAAAGCUGUAAUAGUUUAUGUACCUAGCAAGAUCUGAAUGGAGAUGCCAAUAACUUUGCUUUUUCUUAGGUGGUGAAUCUUUCUGAUUCUCUGCAGAUAAACCAUUACCAUGUGAAUGAACGUCUUCCUGGGAAUUGCAGUGAUCAUUCUUAGCACUAGAGGAUCCAUUUUGAGGUAUUUGAUUUGAAUCACCUUCAGCAGCAUUUUCACUUCGAGACAUAAGUGCAGAUCUAAAUGUGAUGCUCCGGAGUGACAAAUCUUGAUCCAAUUGAUCAGAAUUUGAGGUGCAAGCUUUCCCAGAAUCCAAUUGUUCAAAGGAGUUGUCCUGUUCUACCUUAAACUGGUCAUGUUCACUACGUUGCUUCAGUCGUGAUGAAAGUCUGCAGUUUGUCUCAGCAUCAGAUGUACUACAUUCCCUGCUACUCUGAUACCGACCGUUAAGAUUGGGUGACUCGAUUGCAGUACCGUAAAACGAAGAUAUUGUAUUAACAAUUGAUCCGUACGACGGAUGACAUGUGUUCAACACUGUAACAAGGGAAUGAAGAUCGACCUGGCCAUAGUAAUGACAUGGAGGGCUCCCCUCAUAUGAGUCAAUCCUGCAAGUUCAGAGGGUCUUUGUUUAUUAAUGUAGCAAGAAGUAACUAUCUGAUACAUACAGGAUCGAUCAGAGAGUAAACACAUCAUGUCUCACUUCUGCAAUAUGAAUUGCUCACUUUUCGGCAAACCCUUAAUCAAUGAGCCUACAGUAUCAUAACAACUGGAUCUUACUAAAUCAGGGUAUCACAAAUUUCCUUGUUUUAUUCCAGAGAAUCUUAAUACAGCAUAGUCUUCCAUCUUUUAGGAAAAAGUGCUAGUACAUAGCACAGAAAUUGUAUUUUCUUGUGGUCUCGUACAACAUCAAGGUAUGAGUAUGACCAUACCCUGGGUUAUUCAGUAAGUUCAACUUUUUUCGCACCUCUAAGCAAGAAAAACAAGAAAUAUGUAUGUUCUGCCUAGCAUGUCGAAAGUCAAACCAUUGCUAAUCCCACAAUGUAUUCCUAGGCCCACAUGUCCCUAGCAGCUUUUAUAGAAAUAAUCAUAUGAUUGUUGCAGCUUACAUGUUCUAUGGACAGGUGCCACCCAGAAGAAACAAGAGAAAUAGAGCAUCCUAGGUGAAGCUCAUAGACAAGAGAAAAAUGUUAAAGCUUACAUUAUUGUUCCUCAAUCCUAAGGUGACUUUAUUAUCUGAAUGGUAGAGUACUAGAGCGAUGCAAUCUUCACACUUAGAUUUUGUACGGUACAGGAUGGCAAUGUAGCAGAGGAAUACUCAAAUUCACACAGAGCCCCAAAAAAAACAUGGAAGGGAUAGAUGGUGACUUACACCAAAAGAUAGCCGCAAGUGCCGAAGUAUAGUCGGCCAUGUGGAUCAAUUCCCAGAACCUCUGCUCCUCUCAUAGGACUUGCCAUAUUUCUAGAUCCAUCAUUCUUCUGUAUUAAACAUUCAGGACAAUACCAAUCACCUUCAGGCAAUAGAUCCUCCACCACCCCCACACAUUUUGAAUGAAAGGCAGCUGGACAGCCAUCACAGCAUAACAAAUUACCAUCCAUGCCACAAAGAUAACAUUCAUCACUAUUACCAUCAUCCAUUUCAUCAGAGCCUUCUGGAGGCUGAGAAGAAUCCGCUGCACCCUUGGCAGAAGAGGCCCUCUUUUUUCUUCUUAAACCAGUGCUUCUGAAGCCCUCAUCAUUUCCAUCCAACUCUGACAUCCUUGACCGUAUAGCCCCAAUCGCCAGAACAUCAUCAGAGAGUGAAUGCAGCAGCUCGAGUUUUACCACUGCAGGCUGCCUGUAGUACUCUGUACUCAACAGCUUUAAAUCUGUAAGCUUCAUACCAUACCUCAAUUCCGUGCCCCUGGUUAGCAAGUAUUCAGCAAGAUAGAUUGGCCAAGUUGCUAGGUCUAACAGCUCCCAGUUAAGAUUCCUACAAAGACAAUAUAGUGGGUAACUUGAGAAACAUAUUUUUCAUCACGUAGAGCUCUCUAAGCUUAGGAUACAGAGAAGGGCAUUUUACCUAAUGCAGUGCACUGCCGACGGGUCUCCUUCAUUGGCGAAAUCUUCCAGGUGGCUCUUGAGAGCUCUCAGCAGAGCGAAAUGCACCCAGUCAAUCAAAGGAUUCGCAUGCGUGCAAUGCAGCGCAGCCACAAAUGUGUCCAGUGGAAAUGGGCUCAGGAAUAGCUGCCUGCUAAAUGACCUUAAGCAGGAGUAGACUUGAAAGACGUCGAGGACAGGGAGGCCACCCAAAUCUAAACCCUGCGAUGACGGUGGCAGCUCAGGUUUAGGUGGCAGUGCCGGCUUCAGCUUCGGCGACGGUUUCUUCACCACAGCUUCCUCCAAAUCCCUGGAGACAGAGCGAUAACGCCCACUUCCAUUUGCACGGGGACGCUUCCUCCCAGACUGCUGCGGCGUGGAAGCAGCCGCCGCCUCAGCCUCAGCGGCCUCCGCAGCAGCCGCCACAGCCGCCGCGGCCUCCAUCUCAGCCGCCCGCUCGGCCGCCUUCGCCUGCCGCGCGCUCCGCCGCAGCGGCCUGGACGACGACACGGGCCCGGGGCUGAUCCUCCGCUUCUUCUCCGCCGCCGCCGCCUCCCCGCUCGCCUCGGCCGGCGUCGCGGGCUCGGUUUCCCCAUCCGACGACCCGCCGCCCGCGGGGACCGCCAGCACGACGCCGUCCCCCGGCGGCGCGGCCUUGGCCGGGGACGGGGACUCAUCAUCCCCGCGCCGGCGCUUCUUCGGGCGCCUCCCCGCGGCGUCCCGCUGCGGUGUCCGCUGCAGCGCCUCCGGCAUCGCGGGGCCGACGAGUAUCUCGGCCAUCUCGUCGGCGUCGACCUCCUCCGAGUCCCCGUCCUCGUAGAGCACGCGGAAGUAGCCCGCGUCGGCGUCGUAGGACUCGACGACGCCGGCGUAGGUCCCGAACCCCGGGAACGCCUUCCUGACCGCCCUCCCCACCAGCGCCUCCAUCCCGCCCCGCCCCGCCCCGAGCGGAAUUCCUAGGGUUUGGGGCGCGGGGAGGCCAGCGCGGCGGCGGAUCGGGCGCGGCAGCCGGGGUACGGGCGGGAUCGGCGGGCGAUUAGGGCUUGCGGGGGCUGGGAAUUUCGGGUUCGCUGGCGUCCGUAGAGGGGGAAGGGGAAGGAGAAGGUGGGGGGAGAGGAAGAGGAAGGAGACGAGAGGCGUGUUAUAUCUGGCUCGGGCUGCGACUCCUUUCGGUUAGUACUGCGGAGGAGAGAAUGGAAUGGGACGAGACGAGAUGUGCGUGUGCGUCGAGUAGAGAGGGUUUUGGGAGGGAAAAUGUUUGGCUCCACCGUGACAUGGGAAGUGCCUUCGUUUGAUUUGAAAUGGAAAAUCUGGAUGGAGCUCGAGUCCACCGGGGGGUAGUCAGACAGAAUUUUGCUAUUCUCGUACUGUGGGUAAAGGUGUACUACUUCAGUACACUCGCUUUGUUGCCUAGAACGGUGGUGUUGCUAAACACUUUGCCCUGGGCCAAUAGCGUUGCUAACAAACUUCUCCUCUCGUGCAAAUUUAACAUAGAGAAAUGCUAAGUAUUUUUCUUAUUAUCUUUUUUAAAGAAAAAUAUGUAGAAAUUGUAAGCACGGUCGUUACACGGAGGAAGUUCGUGGUUACCAUGCUUGUCAACUUCUUCAUGGCGCCGUCAUUUUCUAUGGCGAACGACUUUUUCAGUACAACAUUUGUCUUUCUCCGAUGAAUUUAGGACUUUUAUGGUUAGAGUGUUAGGUUUUAAAUUUUGUUGGAAGGUCUUUUACAAAUAUGAUCACGAAGGUUAUAUGGCUUUAGUGUGAUGGCUAAAAUAUUGCUUACCAUGAUGGUGGUCGAUCAUCAGUGUGCAAGAUUAAUCGUUUGGUGACUAGAUCAGACUCAUCAGGAUGAAUUAUUAUAGACAUGAUGGGUCACCAAAGACGAGGAACAAGGCUGGUAUAGAGGAGGCAGAGAGAGGAGUCGAUUUAGAGUAGAGGACUUCUAGAGAGCCUCAUUGGAGAAGAGAAUUUUUGAGGCGAUGAUGGCGGCAAUUGGGAGCACAAAGAGAAAGAACACAUGAGUGCAUGUGAGGAGGUAGUAAGAUGAACCUAGUCGUGAGAUAGAUAGGGGUUUAGAGUUAAAAAUUAGAUCCAAAUACACUCUAAACUAAAAAGAAUUCGAGUCAAAAAAAUUUAUGCAUAACUUUAGUUACAACAUAGCUAGAUUCAGAACAAAUUUAAUGUGCAAUAAAGAAGACAUCAUAUAAACAUGUACAUUAGAGUAGGGUGUGAGCUCAUACGUGGAUACCAAAUCGAUGGCAAAUGAUGAUGGAGAUUACCGUCGAAUGAUGAUGGGUAGGAUGGUUAGCAGAAGUGACGAUGGCAAUAUGAUUGUGUUCAUGGGAUGCGCCUAUGGGUAUCAAUAUGGGAUGCAAUAGUAAGGAAGAUAGAUAUGCAUAAGGCAACUCGGGAGCGAUGCUUACACAAGUUUUAAAAAAAUGGGGUCCAAAAUUCAUCUAUUAUGAUUAUAUUUUGAGGAUUGCUAGAAUCUUUUAUGCCAAAUAAUACAUGGAUUCAAAUCUCUAACCUUUCGAUCCAUGGCAACAUUCGUGAUGAACACCUUCUGCUCCAUCUCCAGUAGUUAUAUAUUUUCGAUAGGGGGGAGGAGAUGGGCGCCUUAAGCCCCUUAGAGCAACUCCAGCAAAGUCCUUACUUGAACCCUUACUCAAAAAGUAGGGACCGAGAGAAAAAAAACGCACUCCAGCAGAGCCCCUACUCGGAUCUCUAUUAUAGGGAGGACCCUGCUUCCCCCUUCAGCCCCUUCUCCUACGGGUGGAGGGAGAACCCUCUACUUUUCUAUUUCGUUCGUUUCUCCUAGCGCACUUGCAUGGACUGCUCCUCUUCCGCCAGCUACCACCUCAAGCAAGGGCACUGGCACAAAUCGAGCAAGGGCACCGACGGUACCUUGAGCAAGGGCGGGCCUGAGCUUGUAGCGGCGCUGGCUCAACGGAUGCAGAGCCGGGGUGAGGGCAGGCCCGGCCCUGGGGGGGGGGGGGGGGUUCGAGCAGUGCGGCCGCCCUGGGCCCAAAAAACGGAGGGCCCAUCCCCAUGUAUACAUACGUAUAGGGUAUUGAGCUCCUGCUUUCUUACCUGCGUGGUUCAGACUUCAGACGUUCAGUUAAUCAGUUGGGCUAGGCCCAUAGGCUGAUGAGCACAAACAGCAGGCCAGCAGCUAAAUUCAUGAAGGCACGAACUGACGAACGGAUCGAUCAUGAAUCAUCGAUGACUGUUCGCAUGCUGCCGAAACCCUAACGCCUGAGUCUUGACGCGACGCCUGACGACAGACUAGCGAGUGGCGACUCCUCAUCUCCUCUGCAGCUCCGCGCGUGCCUCCGCCGAAACCCUGAGUCCCUGACGCGGUGAGUGCUGCCGCCGGUGACGCUGACGGGCGACGGCCUGGCUGUGCGGUGCCUGUAUGCAUGUAUCAUUGUAUGCUUGUAUCCUUGUCCGCUCCCUCUGCCUGAUCCCGUGAUCUGAUCUCCAGGAACUCGCCUCCGACCGUCCGACGCCGACAAACACAGAAACACCAUAGGCAGCCACCGAGCCACGGCCAGAAGUAAAAUAGGUAACACAAACUUGCCGAUAUUCGAAGUUCAAAACUCAUUGUAACUUAUAUAAUUUACUAAUAAUUUGAUUAAGUCGAUCCCAUCUAAUAACUUGCCCCCUUAUAGAAAUUGUUGGAUCAGAUCGAUAUUGAUGCCAUCAUCAAUGACUUCGCAUUUACAAAUGUUAGAAGAAAUUUUUGAUGUAAUAUAAAUUGCUUGAUAUGAAUAUUAGUUUUGGACACAUGAUUUAAAUGUUUUAUUAUAAUUAUUACUGCCUUUACUACUUUUAUUAGUAUAGGUCCCUCUUUUACUUUCGCACCAGGUCACAAAAGUCUCAGGACCGGGCCUGGGUGAGGGACAAGGAGCGGUGGCGUCGUGAGCUCGAGCGCCACAGGCCUUCGUCGGGACCGACCACGGCACCCCGACUCCGCCGCACCGGCCGCCGUGCUCCUGCUCCGCACCACCACGCGUGCUAGGGCCUGCUCCUUGCGCCGCCGCGCGGGCUAUCAUGUGGGAGCUGCAGCGCUGCCAUGACCGUGGCCUAGACUUGGAGCACGAGAAAGUGGACGGGGAUGGCGAGAGCCGACGGGCUCAAGUGGUGGUUGGGGGCGAGAGGAAGAUGGCUGGGAAGGCAGGGAGAGAAUAGUGCGGUGAAGAGAGAGUAGAGAGAAGAAGAUGGGAGGGGAUAAAAGAGUUGGCUCACUUACAGGAGGGGCCCAUAUGUCAUGAAAGUAGGGGCCGUGAAGUAAGGACUGUUGUUGGGGUUGUGUAUUAAAGUCCCAAAAAGUUGGGUAGCCCCACUCAAUAAAGUAGGGAUUUGAAGUAGGGGUUAUUGCUGGAGUUGCUCACCGACUGUUGGAUUUUUGAUGUGUAUACAGUAUACGAGAGAGAAGCACAUCCUAGUCAAUUUUGUUAUGCGUCUACUUAUGUCCAUCUUCGAUGAACUCACGCGAACUCCAUGGAAUUUGUUAGCUAGACCGAAUACCUAGGGUUUAAAUCCAAGUUAUCGUUUGAGGCACGUAGCUAUUGGUCUUACAAAAACCCAGGAAAGGUUAAGAAACAUAUGGGCGGCAACAUUGCCGAAUUUACGCAUUUUGAAUUUCUUGAAAUUAUGUUGCGUUAGACCGAGCUGUUCGGUGCCUGGUAGGCGAAUAGGACCAACUUAUGUGUCAAGAUUCGAGUUUACCACAGUACUAAACACGGUCCAUUAGGUAGAUGUUUCUUAGGUAUUGGUUCGUGUAGUAAGUUCAGUAGCCGUUGCAAAUUCGAAAGCAGUAGGCCAGGUCACACGGACGAUGGCGCUCUGUUCACUCCCGCCACCUCUCUAGUUUCCCCGCCAAGGGCGAGCUGUGCUCAAAGUUGCGGCGCCGUGCCGAUAUGCUCUCAUCUUGGAAGCUCCUGUGGAGAAUUAAAAAGACAUACCACCUUGUUUGGAGAUAAGGUCACGAUUCAACAAUUCAUAUCAAUAGAGUCGAACACGAAGGAUUGUACAGUAGGAUUUACCUUGUCUAAACAUCCGGCCAUCAAAGCUUCGGAGUUCGCACCUUUGGUUGAUCUGACUGGUAUAACACCUGGUUUCCUAACAGUUCAGAGUUCGAGUACCACGAGCUGCGUUCGACCUGAACAUAACAGGUCCUGAUCCCAUGAGCCAAUCGGUGACAUUUCUCAAUAAUAACCCAUGAAUCUGACAGAAACUACUCUGAAAGGUGGCCCUGCCCUGGACCGACAACUGAAACAACAGGAUGCAAUCGCAGGAUAAUAAUCACCAUUUUUCCACAAUUAACAACAGCAUCCAUCUAUCCAAUCAUGAACAAAGAAACAUGUACAAGAACAUCCAUCAGGUGAACGCCCAUAUGAACAUCAAUAUUUGCUUGCCGUUACCACGAUAUCCCACUGAUAUAGGGUCAGAUUGUCCUAAAGCCCUAUAACUCGCACAAGAAACGGGAUGAUAGACCAGGUUCUACUUACAUAUGUACCUAUAUAAAUUAGCCUCCUCGGCAUCCGGCGAGCUGCUUCGAGCCUCUUAAAAAAGCACACAGCACCAGACGCCCAGGGCUCAGCACAAGACGUAGCGCACCCAUAAACAAUUGGCUGAUGAGCCCAGCGUCACUUCACAUGGGAGUCGUAGAUGUCAAGGACCGAUUCUGGGAUGACGGUGGGCAACUUGUCUAUGUACAUGAAGAGUCGCCUCAGGUUCUCUCUUCGGACCGUCGCCAUGUCGACGAUGUCCCUGUCAUCCGUGUAUAUCCACAGGUCAGCAGAGUUUACCCUCUUGAGGCUGUCACGGCAGAAUGGACAGGACUGAGACCUUGACCUCCUGUAGCAAUAUCAUAACAUGCUUAGAACAAUAGAGCUUAUAUAUAUAGUCGAAGAAGAAGUUCACUGGAAGAAUCUGAAAGAUAUAUUUGUAGGCUAGAUAGUGAUGGUCAGAUUGACACUAACAAAACCACAUACUACUUCUGCAUUGACACGUUAAUAACACACAAAGAAUGGCAAUAGUCCUUAUUUGGCUUGAUGCAACAUCACGGGCCUAUUUGGUUAGUACUAUAUUUGCCACACCUAAAUUUAGUCCAAAAAAAUCAAUGGGAGAAUCAGAAAGAUAUCGAACUUUGUAGGCUAGAUAGUGAUGGUCAGAUUGACUCUAACAAACCACAUGCUAAUUCUUCACUGAAAUGUUAAUAGCACACACAAAGAAUGACCAUUGCCCGUAUUUGGCUUCAUGGAACAUUUCCAACAAAAGGGCACUUUCAGCAGGCAUACAGAUGAAUGCUGAUCAGGGAACAAAAAUUAUCUUUCCUAUCCAAUUGCUAAUGCUAUAAGCUGAUAGCCAAGUUCAUAGCCAGAAGGCCUUUUGCCCUUCACAUAAAUUUAUUUAGGUUUUGUCUUGUUUCUGAAUAAUGAAAAUCCUACAUCCAAACAAAAGCAGGAGAUGACAUGACAUGUUCUAACUUGCAAGCAAACAAGCUGAACGGAUAUCUCAUGGAAAACACUCCAGAAUCACCAAAACAUAAGAACACAAUCGGACAAAUAUAGAGUAGUGGAAAGAAAUUUAGCGUCACUUAAGUCUUUUGUGUCCUUAAAUUCAGGACUAACCAAGAGAAGUCCAACACACAUGGGUCGUGGCCUCCUGUAGAACGUCACCACACGAUGUUGUUCCAAACUUGCUCCCUAUCUAGUUAAAAAUAAAUUGCUCGCUAUCUACCUCUUGGUUGCCUUGAGCUUUAUUAAUACCAGUAUUGUCAUUUUAUUUCUUGUAAGCUACAUCAGCGGAUUAUAAUUCAAGUCUACAGCACUCAUUCCUGAUUUCUGGUCUUGCGGCAAUGAAAAAGAAUUUACAAAAAAGUAGGGGAUGAAGUGAACAGUAAGGUUUCUAGUUCUUCCUCAAAAGUCAAAACUCUACCUCUGCUUCGUAAACCAUAGGAUCAUAAUCAUUACAUGCAGCGCUACUAAACAUCAAAGAGCAAGAAUGGCAGCUGAUAUUAAGUGGCUGUAAAAGAGAUCUGCAGCAGGUUUUUUUCCAGUACAGUUUGUUGCCCAGCUAAUCUCAUGUGAAGACAAAUAAACAGCUUAUCGAACACAGCAGCAUAAGGAAGGUCUCGGCAGCUAGCAAAGCAAAGUCACAGUAGAGCAGACCCUGUAGCUAUCUACCAAAAGUAGCCAGAUAAACAAAAUGGUACUUCUUUUCUGUUUGAUACCAACAAAUUCAUAUGUUGAUGACACAUCCAGCUUAUAUACAUGUAUCCAAGCAUUAUUGCAUUACAAUAGUAAUUUUUUCCCACAUAAAGAAGGC